AUAGUUGACCUCAAAUCAGGUAGGGA
RNAcentral lists this ribosomal RNA (26 nucleotides) under uncultured Trichophaea. RNAcentral describes it as "partial 28S ribosomal RNA". Lineage: Eukaryota; Fungi; Ascomycota; Pezizomycetes; Pezizales; Pyronemataceae. The record is from RNAcentral.